This 466-nucleotide long non-coding RNA is filed under the name Chloebia gouldiae (Gouldian finch). Its description in RNAcentral is "Erythrura gouldiae (Gouldian finch) lncRNA (ENSEGOG00005010076.1)". Lineage: Eukaryota; Metazoa; Chordata; Aves; Passeriformes; Passeridae. The record is from RNAcentral.
CUGACAUGGUGCUGGAAUGUCUUUCCAUUGCACAACAGCAUGGUGAGCUGCUCUGGGAUAGAGGUGAAGCAAUUUUCUCUGUAGCUCUCCAGGAGCUGCAUAAACCACAUUUAUUUUUCCCACCACAUAAGGAUUUAUGGGAAAUGAUGUGGUCCUCUCUGCCUGUCAAGGGUACAACAGCACCUUCAGCAUUUUUUUGGCACAGCUCUUUAAAAUCCAACUGUUUACUGACUUGUCAUCUCUGUCUUACAGUAAAAAAAGGCAAGAAAGCACAGCAGACCCUAAAAUUCAGGUACCUGCUGCCAUUCUCCAGCUGUAUGGAAGCUGCCUGCACUGUGAGACAACCACAUGAACACCUUGGUGGGGGUACCCAGCUGACAGACACUGCGAGUGAGAAGGCAGACUGGUGAGUGUCAUCUUACCAAAAACCUGCAGGAGCAAGCCAAAACAUGCAAUUUGCUAAGUA